GGGGAUCGUCCCAGAAGGACCCAGCCACAAGCGAGGACACCGGUGCAUCAAGCCCUGGCGCCUGUGUUUCCGUGAACAGCGCCCUUCUCCUCCUCCCCAGACAUUGGUCCUGGCACCUGUGUGUCCGUGGGCAGCAGCCUCUUCCUCCUCCCCAGACCUCAGUUUCUGCACGUGUGAAAAGGGGGCUCUUCCAAGACUCUUACAUGAAUGCAAAAAUCGGGAUUUCGUCCAGCAUGCUCAGAAUUGUCGACCCUACACAGGCACCUGAGAAAUCAGAGCUGAGUCAGGAGAGCCGGUGUGGAUGUACUGGGAGCUCCUUCCCUUGCUGCGUCAGCACUCUUGAGACUGGAGAGCCCUGGAGGUUGGGGACCGGCCACUUGCUGGUGGACCAGACUCCCUGCAGUCUGGGAUGGUGACAGACAUGAGACAUGGCUGUGGAAGUAAUUGGUAACAGUAGUAGCCCGCAUUUAUUGAGCACUGACUAUGUGCUUGGCUUUGUGUGAAGGCCAGUCACAUGCAUUAUUUCCCCCUCCCACAGCCUUGUCUGGUGGGUACUGCUAUUCUGUCCCCAGUUUACUGAUGAGACAUUUGAGGCCCAGAGUUGCUGGGUAGUAACCAGUCCAAAGUCACCCUGCUGACAAGUAGCUGAAGCAGUAGUCCCCAGUCUUACCUACUAUACUGUACUGAGAAAGGUUUGACCUGGAAGGCAGAAUGGCAGAGGGGGAAAUGACAAGGUUCUAGCAGUAUUAAUAAUAGAUACCAUGCAUUGAGCACCCACUAAGUGCUGGGUGCUGGCCCAAGGGCAUUUCAUGAAUCAUUUAUCCUCCUGACAGUGAACCCUAUACUGUAAAUUUUAUUUCCAUUUCAAAGGUGAAGCUCGGAGAAGUCACUUUAUAUGCCUUAGGGCACAUAUAGUAAAAAACUAACUUUUCGAUUCAUUGAUGGUGCAUUCUGCCUGCCUGCAUGUCACUCUUAGGCAUAUUCCACUCUUCUCUGAGUCAAGCUUUCUCCUACUGUGAAAUGAGAGGCUUGGACUGGGAGACUUUGAAUGUUCUUUCCCCAGCCGAUGUUGUUUGAUUUUAGGGAGUUUUGACAUGAAUGUUGGAGAUCUGGAUUUGAGGAUUACAUUUGUUCCUAAUUAACUGUAAUUUAGGCACAUCUCUGCAUCUCUGGGCUUCAGUUUCCGCAUUAGUAAAAGGUAAGACUAGACCAGGCAUGUUGGCUCAUGUCUGUAAUCCCAGAACUUUGGGAGGCUGAGGAGGAAGGAGGAUUGCUUGAAGCCAGGAGUUUGAGUCCAGCCUGGGCAACAAAACAAGACCCUGUCUCUACAAUAAAAAAAAAUUAAAAAGUUCAAAUUAGCCAGGUGCAGUGGCUCAUGCUUGAAGUCCCAGCUACUUGGAGAGCUGAGGUGGGAUACUCACUUGAGCCCAGGAGUUUGAGGCUGCAGUGAGCUAUAAUCAUGCCACUGCGCUCUAUCCUGGGCAACAGAGCGAGGCCCCGUCUCUAAAAAGAAAAUGGGCUGGGCACGGUGACUCACACCUGUAAUCCUAACACUUUGGGUGGCUGAGGUGGGAGGAUCACUUGAUCCCAGGAGUUUGAGACCAGCCUGGGCAACAUGGCAAAACCCUGUCUCUACGAAAAAUACAAAAAACUGGCUAGGCAUGGUGACAUGUACCUGUGGUUCCAGCUAUCUAGCUAUCCGGGAGGUGGAGGCAGAAGGAUCACCUGAGCCCAGGAGGUUGAGACUGCAGUGAUCCAUGAUCACGCCACAGCCUUGGCAACAGAGUGAGACCCUGUCUCAAAAAAAAAGAAAAAAAAAUUACAGAGAUUAGCAUUUCCAAUCACCAGAGUGCCUUCUGGCUUGAAUAUUUUAUGACUGCAGAUGAAGAGACAACCUGAGGUUCAGCAAACUGCAUCCUCUGAGAAAGUCUAAUGAACGUAAAUCUGCUACCUUACUCAGAAUGUCCCUGGCACAAGUUUCCAAGGAUAGACCCUCUGUGUGAAGGGGAGCAGCUGCCUUUGAGCAAUCAGCAGUAACUGCUUGGGGAGGCUUAGUCCCCUAAUAGUUCAGAAGUCACCUCCAAGGUCAGACGGACCCACAGCUGAACGCCAACACUUCCACUUCUCGUGGGGGCUUAUUUGGCCUCCCCAGGAUGGACUGGAGCAUCAGUAGUGCCCGGGUUUAUCACAGGACAGAUACUCAAGACACUCUUAUCACCAUUAGGUGGACUUGGAGGAGCAAAAAACAAGUGCAGUGGCUCCUCAGCAGAGACACUCCUGAAUGUAUAGACAUGGGAACCACCUUCAGCAUCAAAAAAGGAAACGUUCUGCAUGCC
RNAcentral lists this long non-coding RNA (2336 nucleotides) under Homo sapiens (human). RNAcentral describes it as "HSALNT0405620". Lineage: Eukaryota; Metazoa; Chordata; Mammalia; Primates; Hominidae. The record is from RNAcentral.